CAGAGUUGCUUUCUUCUGCAGACAAAUCACCCUAAGGAGGAGUUUGCUCAGCCCGAGCGAGUCGCUCCUCUGGAGGGUGUGUGCAGUUUGUGCCUUCCAGCCAGCUGGGGACCAUCCGCGCCCUGCCCGUGCCAGCUCGCUGCAGCAGCACACCUGUGAAGCUGGAAGGACACAGAGGAGAGCAGCAUGGCCUCGGCAGAGAGGAUGAACUGCUGAAGGACAGCUCCUGGGAGCUGGCCUGGCUGAGGGAAGGAAAGAUGUGAGGAUUGGCACCUGGAAAUGAGCAGAAUGCAUCCACCUGCACAGCCUGCUUUGCUUUCUCUUCCCUGCCCCUGAAGGAACAGAGCUGCUCAGGCCCCUCUGCAGGAUGCUCACAAGGCCACCUUCUUCUCCUGUCCUCCUUCUCCUGUCCUGUGUCUGGUGGGAGCCACUAUCAGGAACAACAUG
Molecule: long non-coding RNA, 447 nt
Organism: Pogoniulus pusillus (Red-fronted tinkerbird)
Lineage: Eukaryota; Metazoa; Chordata; Aves; Piciformes; Lybiidae
Exons: 4
Source: RefSeq, a predicted model, not a curated record